This 1460-nucleotide ribosomal RNA is filed under the name uncultured Bordetella sp. RNAcentral's name for it is "partial 16S-23S ribosomal RNA intergenic spacer". It matches the Rfam family "Bacterial small subunit ribosomal RNA". Lineage: Bacteria; Pseudomonadati; Pseudomonadota; Betaproteobacteria; Burkholderiales; Alcaligenaceae. The record is from RNAcentral.
GGUUCGAUUCUGGCUCAGAUUGAACGCUGGUGGGAUGUUUACACAUGCAAGUCGAACGGCAGCACGGACUUCGGUCUGGUGGCGAGUGGCGAACGGGUGAGUAAUGUAUCGGAACGUGCCUAGUAGCGGGGGAUAACUACGCGAAAGCGCUAAUACCGCAUACGCCCUUCGGGGGAAAGCGGGGACCUUCGGGCCUCGCACUAUUAGAGCGGCCGAUAUCGGAUUAGCUAGUUGGUGGGGUAACGGCUCACCAAGGCGACGAUCCGUAGCUGGUUUGAGAGGACGACCAGCCACACUGGGACUGAGACGACGGCCCAGACUCUACGGGAGGCAGCAGUGGGGAAUUUUGACAAUGGGGGAAACCCUGAUCCAGCCAUCCCGCGUGUGCGAUGAAGGCCUUCGGGUUGUAAAGCACUUUUGGCAGGAAAGAAACGGCACGGACACACCCGUGCAACUGACGGUACCUGCAGAAUAAGCACCGGCUAACUACGCCAGCAGCCGCGGUAAUACGUAGGGUGCAAGCGUUAAUCGGAAUUACUGGGCGUAAAGCGCGCAGGCGGUUCGAAAGAUGUGAAAUCCCAGAGCUUAACUUUGGAACUGCAUUUUUAACUACCGAGCUAGAGUGUGUCAGGAGGAGGUGGAAUUCGCGUAGCAGUGAAAUGCGCAGAUAUGCGGAGGAACACCGAUGGCGAAGGCAGCCUCCCUGGGAUAACACUGACGCUCAUGCACGAAAGCGUGGGGGAGCCAAACAGGAUUAGAUAUUCCCUGGUAGUCCACGCCCUAAACGAUGUCAACUAGCUGUUGGGGCCUUCGGCCUGGUAGCGCAGCUAAUGCGUGAAGUUGACCGCCUGGGGAGUACGGUCAAGAUUAAAAACUCAAAGGAAUUGACGGGGACCCGCACAAGCGGUGGAUGAUGUGGAUUAAUUCGAUGCAACGCGAAAAACCUUACCUACCCUUGACAUGUCUGGAAUCCCGAAGAGAUUCGAAGAGUGCUCGCAAGAGAACCGGAACACAGGUGCUGCAUGGCUGUCGUCAGCUCUUUGUGUCGAGAUGUUGGGUUGUCCCAACGAGCGCAACCCUGUCAUUAGCUGCUACGAAAGGCACUCUAAUGAGACUGCCGGUGACAAACCGGAGGAAGGUGGGGAUGACGUCAAGUCCUCAUGGCCCUGCGGGUAGCUUCACACGUCAUACAAUGGUCGGGACAGAGGGUCGCCAACCCGCGAGGGGGAGCCAUUUCCAGAAACCCGAUCGUAGUCCGGAUCGCAGUCUGCAACCCGACUGCGUGAAGUCGGAAUCGCUAGUAAUCGCGGAUCAGCAUGUCGCGGUGAAUACGUUCCCGGGUCUUGUACACACCGCCCGUCACACCAUGGGCGGGUUUUACCAGAAGUAGUUAGCCUAACCGUAAGGAGGGCGAUUACCACGGUAGGAUUCAUGACUGGGGUGAAGUCGCGUCAGCGUAA